Molecule: transfer RNA, 72 nt
Filed under: Gemmatimonadota bacterium
Lineage: Bacteria; Pseudomonadati; Gemmatimonadota
Description: Gemmatimonadetes bacterium tRNA-OTHER
Rfam family: tRNA
About the family: Transfer RNA (tRNA) molecules are approximately 80 nucleotides in length. Their secondary structure includes four short double-helical elements and three loops (D, anti-codon, and T loops). Further hydrogen bonds mediate the characteristic L-shaped molecular structure. tRNAs have two regions of fundamental functional importance: the anti-codon, which is responsible for specific mRNA codon recognition, and the 3' end, to which the tRNAs corresponding amino acid is attached (by aminoacyl-tRNA synthetases). tRNAs cope with the degeneracy of the genetic code in two manners: having more than one tRNA (with a specific anti-codon) for a particular amino acid; and 'wobble' base-pairing, i.e. permitting non-standard base-pairing at the 3rd anti-codon position.
Source: RNAcentral
GGCCUCGUAGCUUAAAGGAUAGAGCCACUGCACACGAAGGGUGAGGUCCGGGUUCGAGUCCCGGCGGGGCUU